AUCCUUUUGUGAGGAUAAGGAUAUGUUUGGGUUUUCACUUGUGUGAGAUGUGCCUCCCUCAGACCUUGUUAUAUCAGCACGUUUCCCAUUGGAUG
Molecule: small nucleolar RNA, 95 nt
Organism: Callithrix jacchus (white-tufted-ear marmoset)
Lineage: Eukaryota; Metazoa; Chordata; Mammalia; Primates; Cebidae
Source: Ensembl